UUUGCAUUUCCUUCGAAGGUCACGGAGAUCAUUACGAAAAACGUGUCAUGCGACGGCGAAGAGGUUGGGUGAGGACGACACGUGUAACAUCAUUAUCAAGUAGGUAAAAUAGCCGGAAGGUAUAAGAUGUGGGUCAGGGUGAGAAAAAGUCGUAUAAAAGGAGAGAGAAAAAUUGACAUGGAUCAGUCGAGUGAGUAUCUCCGACACGGUAACAACUUCAGCGCACUAUUGGUCACCUGCUGCAUUCUUCAUCGUAUCAUCAGUUCGCAAUCAUGGUAAACUAUGGCGUUGUUCUGCUGUUGGGUGUUGAAUCGCUGACGGUUGGGUCGACCACUGGUGUACCGAUGUCUCCUGGUCCUGUGUAUGGUGGAUAUCAAAGCACAACAUUGCUGUCUUAAUACUCAUCAUCAACCAAUGCUGCUCCAGCUUACACCACCAAGGCUUCAGACAAGUUGCAUUAAAGGAGAGAAAAGGCUUUUCCGACACGACAACAACUUCCGCGCACAAUUUGUCACCAACUGCCUUCUUCAUCGUAUAAAGCGUAAACUGUGGCGUCGUGCUGCUGUUGGUUGUUGUCCUGAAAUACUACACCACCGAGGCUUCAAAGUAUUACACUACAAUUUAUGCUGCUGCGAGAUGCAUCACUAAAGAGCCCGAGUACUACAUCCUGUUUCCAUUCGUAUUAAGCCACAACCAUUUGUUCACUCUGGCGCCGUGCUGCUGUUUGGUGUCUUAUCGUUGAAGGUUGGGUCGACCACGGGUUUACUGAUGUCUUCUGGUCAUGGUGGAGACCAAGCAACAGCAGCGAAAGAAUACUACACCACGCCGCCGCCUUCGCAACAUCUACUUACAACACCGAGGCCCCCAAGUGGUACACCACCAAGGCUCAAGAGUUACGCUACAAAUUACGCUGCCCCGAGUUACAUCACCAAAGCGCCUGAGUACUACAUCCCCGAGGCACUACAACUGAGGCGGCGAAGUACUACGUAGCCUAGGCUUACAACACAGCAGCUGCUCCUUCAUACUACGUUGAACUGAAAUACUACACCAAGGCUGCAGUUGACUACACCACAACCUACGCUUCACUUAGCUACUAUGACGAAGCCCCCAACUACUACACCGAAGAGGCCACAUGUUACACACCAACGUACAGUGCCCCAGUUUACUACACCGAGGAACCCAAGUAUUACUCUGCUCCAAGCUACUACCAAACUGAGGCUCCUGUUAACCAAGGCCACCGAGUAUUAUACUACAACCAAACGUUAACUAUGGCGUCGUGCUGCUGUUGGUUGUAUGAUCCUUGAUGGCUGGGUUGACCACUGGUGUACCGAUGUCUCCUGGGUAUGGCGGAUACCAAACCGCAACGCCGGCGUCUUACUAUACAACAACAUACGCAGCAACCGGAUACUACACCCCCAAGGCCCUAGAGUAUUACACCAUAACUUAUGAUGUCCCGAACUUCUACACCGAAGCUUCGAAGUUUAACUCAGCCCCGUGUUAAACCACCAAGGCAGCGGAGUACUACACCACCAAGGCAGCGGAGUACUACACCACCAAGGCAGCGGAGUACUACACCACCAAGGCAGCGGAGUACUACACCACCAAGGCAGCGGAGUACUACACCACCAAGGCAGCGGAGUACUACACCACCAAGGCAGUGGAGUACUACACCACCAAGGCAGUGGAGUACUACACCACCAAGGCAGCGGAGUACUACACCACCAAGGCAGCGGAGUACUACACCACCAAGGCAGCGGAGUACUACACCACCAAGGCAGCGGAGUACUACACCACCAAGGCAGCGGAGUACUACACCACCAAGGCAGCGGAGUACUACACCACCAAGGCAGCGGAGUACUACACCACCAAGGCAGCGGAGUACUACACCACCAAGGCAGCUGCAUAUUCGUACUACGUUGAACCGGAAUGCUAAACCGAGGCCUCAGUUUUCUAUACUACAGCCUGCGCUUCUCCCAGGUACUAUACCACCAAGGCUACUGAGUAUUACACCACUUCUUACGCUGCUACCACCUACUUCACCGAAGCUCCGAAGUUUUACUCUGUGCUGAGUUACCACACCAUUAAGGAAGCCGAACAUUUCAUCACAAACGCUUCCGCAACUUACUACAUGAAAAUUCCUAAAUGCUAGACCCGAAAUUUCUAAUUGGUUUUAUUAAGAUAUGUCGGUUGUCUUCAUGGUCAUUGGGAAUUAAUCGUUGAUGUUGAUUGAGAAAAUAAAAUUUCUAAUGCCGGUAAUUCUUUUUUAAGACUUGGUAGUAACUUCAAGCCUGUCAACGUUGCGGCAGGUGUCUAUUGGUGUUGGACUUCUUCAAGGCCAGUAUCCUACGUUGUGAUUUGUCUGUUAAUCGAUCUGCAUACGGAUUUGUUUUAGUGGUUCGACGUGAAGUUUCAAGGGAAAGUUACGAAAGAAACUUGUAACUGUUGAUUUUUGCAAAUCUUAUAUGCAAGUAAAAGGCAAUUGGCUGAUCUUUGUAUAAU
Daphnia pulex (common water flea) is the source of this 2499-nucleotide RNA transcript. RefSeq lists it as uncharacterized. The record is from RefSeq and is a predicted model, not a curated record. NCBI's taxonomy places the organism in Eukaryota, Metazoa, Arthropoda, Branchiopoda, Diplostraca, Daphniidae. The transcript is spliced from 5 exons.